Molecule: ribosomal RNA, 253 nt
Filed under: uncultured bacterium
Lineage: Bacteria
Description: partial 16S ribosomal RNA
Rfam family: Bacterial small subunit ribosomal RNA
Source: RNAcentral
UACGUAGGGGGCUAGCGUUGUCCGGAUUUAUUGGGCGUAAAGAGCGUGUAGGCGGCCAGGUAGGUCCGUUGUGAAAACUCGAGGCUCAACCUCGAGACGUCGGCGGAAACCCUCUGGCUAGAGUCCGGAAGAGGAGAGUGGAAUUCCUGGUGUAGCGGUGAAAUGCGCAGAUAUCAGGAAGAACACCCGUGGCGAAGGCGGCUCUCUGGGCCGAUACUGACGCUGAGGAGCGAAAGCGUGGGGAGCGAACAGG